UACGGAGGGUGCAAGCGUUGCUCGGAAUCACUGGGCGUAAAGCGACCGCAGGCGGCCUGACAAGUCGGAUGUGAAAGCCCUGGGCUCAACUCAGGAAUUGCAUUCGAAACUGGUAGGCUUGAGUACGGGAGAGGGGGGUGGAAUUCCUGGUGUAGGGGUGAAAUGCGUAGAUAUCAAGAGGAACACCUGAGGUGAAGACGGGUUGCUGGGCUGACACUGACGCUGAGGCGCGAAAGCCAGGGGAGCAAACGGG
Molecule: ribosomal RNA, 253 nt
Filed under: uncultured bacterium
Lineage: Bacteria
Description: partial 16S ribosomal RNA
Rfam family: Bacterial small subunit ribosomal RNA
Source: RNAcentral